Long non-coding RNA from Thalassophryne amazonica, 162 nucleotides. RefSeq lists it as uncharacterized. The record is from RefSeq and is a predicted model, not a curated record. The transcript is spliced from 2 exons. NCBI's taxonomy places the organism in Eukaryota, Metazoa, Chordata, Actinopteri, Batrachoidiformes, Batrachoididae.
GUAGCCAUGUACUAAAUAGUAAGACCCUUUGGCUGCUCCCUUGUUUUCACUCAGGGUCACCACAUCAGAUCCAAGGUGGAUCUGCAUGUUUAUUUGGCACAGGUUUUACACCAGAUGUCCUUCCUGACACAACUCCACAUUACAUGUAAAAAUGUGGCAGGG